GACGAACGCUGGCGGCGUGCUUAACACAUGCAAGUCGAACGGUAAGGCCCUUUCGGGGGUCCACGAGUGGCGAACGGGUGAGUAACACGUUGGUGAUCUGCCCUGCACUUUUGGAUAAGCCUGUGAAACUGGGUCUAAUACCGGAUAGGACUACGCGAUGCAUGUCGUGUGGUGGAAAGCUUUUGCGGUGUGGGAUGGGCCCGCGGCCUAUCAGCUUGUUGGUGGGGUGAUGGCCUACCAAGGCGACGACGGGUAGCCGGCCUGAGAGGGUGUCCGGCCACACUGGGACUGAGAUACGGCCCAGACUCCUACGGGAGGCAGCAGUGGGGAAUAUUGCACAAUGGGCGCAAGCCUGAUGCAGCGACGCAGCGUGGGGGAUGACGGCCUUCGGGUUGUAAACCCCUUUCAGCACAGACGAAGCGUAAGUGACGGUAGGUGCAGAAGAAGCACCGGCCAACUACGUG
This 464-nucleotide ribosomal RNA is filed under the name uncultured bacterium. RNAcentral's name for it is "partial 16S ribosomal RNA". It matches the Rfam family "Bacterial small subunit ribosomal RNA", at positions 28 to 507 of the family's 1533-position model. The record is from RNAcentral.